UUGAACGCUGGCGGCAGGCCUAACACAUGCAAGUCGCGCGGAUGAAGGGAGCUUGCUCCUGGAUUCAGCGGCGGACGGGUGAGUAAUGCCUAGGAAUCUGCCUGGUAGUGGGGGAUAACGUCCGGAAACGGGCGCUAAUACCGCAUACGUCCUGAGGGAGAAAGUGGGGGAUCUUCGGACCUCACGCUAUCAGAUGAGCCUAGGUCGGAUUAGCUAGUUGGUGGGGUAAAGGCCUACCAAGGCGACGAUCCGUAACUGGUCUGAGAGGAUGAUCAGUCACACUGGAACCGAGACACGGUCCAGACUCCUACGGGAGGCAGCAGUGGGGAAUAUUGGACAAUGGGCGAAAGCCUGAUCCAGCCAUGCCGCGUGUGUGAAGAAGGUCUUCGGAUUGUAAAGCACUUUAAGUUGGGAGGAAGGGCAGUAAGUUAAUACCUUGCUGUUUUGACGUUACCAACAGAAUAAGCACCGGCUAACUUCGUG
Molecule: ribosomal RNA, 483 nt
Filed under: uncultured bacterium
Lineage: Bacteria
Description: partial 16S ribosomal RNA
Rfam family: Bacterial small subunit ribosomal RNA
Source: RNAcentral